This 220-nucleotide ribosomal RNA is filed under the name uncultured fungus. Its description in RNAcentral is "partial small subunit ribosomal RNA". The stretch from base 79 to 220 matches the Rfam family "Eukaryotic small subunit ribosomal RNA", at positions 721 to 864 of the family's 1831-position model. The record is from RNAcentral. Lineage: Eukaryota; Fungi.
GGCACGAUGCACCUUGUCCACUGGAGCAAUCUAGCGAGUAUGAGAGCGUAUCUGCCAUCCUUCUAGUUAACUGGCUGGACUUAACUGUUUAGUCAGCGAUCUAGAUCAUUUACUUUGAAAAAAUUAGAGUGUUUAAAGCAGGCUUGCGCUAUGAAUACAUUAGCAUGGAAUAAUAAUUUAGGACUUUGCUCCUAUUUUAUUGGUUUCUAGGGGUGAAGUA